GACGAACGCUGGCGGCGUGCCUAAUACAUGCAAGUUGAGCGCUGAAGGUUGGUACUUGUACCAACUGGAUGAGCAGCGAACGGGUGAGUAACGCGUGGGGAAUCUGCCUUUGAGCGGGGGACAACAUUUGGAAACGAAUGCUAAUACCGCAUAAAAACUUUAAACACAAGUUUUAAGUUUGAAAGAUGCAAUUGCAUCACUCAAAGAUGAUCCCGCGUUGUAUUAGCUAGUUGGUGAGGUAAAGGCUCACCAAGGCGAUGAUACAUAGCCGACCUGAGAGGGUGAUCGGCCACAAUGGGACUGAGACACGGCCCAAACUCCUACGGGAGGCAGCAGUAGGGAAUCUUCGGCAAUGGACGAAAGGCUGACCGAGCAACGCCGCGGGAGUGAAGUAGGGUUUCGGAUCGUAAAACUCUGUUGGUAGAGAAGAAAGUUGGUGAGAGUGGAAAGCUCAUCAAGUGACGGUAACUACCCAGAAAGGGACGGCUAACUACGUG
RNAcentral lists this ribosomal RNA (497 nucleotides) under uncultured bacterium. RNAcentral's name for it is "partial 16S ribosomal RNA". It matches the Rfam family "Bacterial small subunit ribosomal RNA", at positions 28 to 507 of the family's 1533-position model. The record is from RNAcentral.